AACCUGCCCUUAACUCUGGGAUAAGCCUGGGAAACUGGGUCUAAUACCGGAUAGGAGCGUCCACCGCAUGGUGGGUGUUGGAAAGAUUUAUCGGUUUUGGAUGGACUCGCGGCCUAUCAGCUUGUUGGUGAGGUAAUGGCUCACCAAGGCGACGACGGGUAGCCGGCCUGAGAGGGUGACCGGCCACACUGGGACUGAGACACGGCCCAGACUCCUACGGGAGGCAGCAGUGGGGAAUAUUGCACAAUGGGCGCAAGCCUGAUGCAGCGACGCCGCGUGAGGGAUGACGGCCUUCGGGUUGUAAACCUCUUUCAGUAGGGAAGAAGCGAAAGUGACGGUACCUGCAGAAGAAGCACCGGCUAACUACGUGCCAGCAGCCGCGGUAAUACGUAGGGUGCGAGCGUUAUCCGGAAUUAUUGGGCGUAAAGAGCUCGUAGGCGGUUUGUCGCGUCUGUCGUGAAAGUCCGGGGCUUAACCCCGGAUCUGCGGUGGGUACGGGCAGACUAGAGUGCAGUAGGGGAGACUGGAAUUCCUGGUGUAGCGGUGGAAUGCGCAGAUAUCAGGAGGAACACCGAUGGCGAAGGCAGGUCUCUGGGCUGUAACUGACGCUGAGGAGCGAAAGCAUGGGGAGCGAACAGGAUUAGAUACCCUGGUAGUCCAUGCCGUAAACGUUGGGCACUAGGUGUGGGGACCAUUCCACGGUUUCCGCGCCGCAGCUAACGCAUUAAGUGCCCCGCCUGGGGAGUACGGCCGCAAGGCUAAAACUCAAAGGAAUUGACGGGGGCCCGCACAAGCGGCGGAGCAUGCGGAUUAAUUCGAUGCAACGCGAAGAACCUUACCAAGGCUUGACAUGUUCUCGAUCGCCGUAGAGAUACGGUUUCCCCUUUGGGGCGGGUUCACAGGUGGUGCAUGGUUGUCGUCAGCUCGUGUCGUGAGAUGUUGGGUUAAGUCCCGCAACGAGCGCAACCCUCGUUCCAUGUUGCCAGCACGUAAUGGUGGGGACUCAUGGGAGACUGCCGGGGUCAACUCGGAGGAAGGUGAGGACGACGUCAAAUCAUCAUGCCCCUUAUGUCUUGGGCUUCACGCAUGCUACAAUGGCCGGUACAAUGGGUUGCGAUACUGUGAGGUGGAGCUAAUCCCAAAAAGCCGGUCUCAGUUCGGAUUGGGGUCUGCAACUCGACCCCAUGAAGUCGGAGUCGCUAGUAAUCGCAGAUCAGCAACGCUGCGGUGAAUACGUUCCCGGG
This 1244-nucleotide ribosomal RNA is filed under the name Micrococcus sp. Its description in RNAcentral is "bacterial SSU rRNA". It matches the Rfam family "Bacterial small subunit ribosomal RNA", at positions 123 to 1378 of the family's 1533-position model. Lineage: Bacteria; Bacillati; Actinomycetota; Actinomycetes; Micrococcales; Micrococcaceae. The record is from RNAcentral.